GCUCGGAAGGCUGGCCGCGCCUGUUGUUUUUUGUCCGGGUCGGAGAUCUUGAACUGGACUCUCCCGGCGCAGGACGCGGUCCGACCGUGUGCACUUUCCGCGGGCAGAGCGCCACGACCGGUUCUCGGGGCGGUCAGAAGGCGGCGGGGAUGGUAGGUGGGCGCUUCGGCGCGCACUGGUAUAGCCCCGCCUGUCCCGAUCCGCCCGGGGACCGAGGAGCCGCCGCCGGUUUCAUGGGGUGGGCCUGGCCCUCCUUGGGAUGUUUUCCGACUGGCAGAGACUGGGCAACCGUGUCUGCCGACCGCUUCCCUUGGACGGACUCGGGGCUCCCCACCCUGCCGGCACAGGGUCGGUGGCGAAUCGGUCGGCCCUCCACCCGACCCGUCUUGAAACACGGACCAAGGAGUCUAACAUGCGCGCGAGUCGUUGGGUCGUACGAAACCCGAAGGCGAAGUGAAAGCGAGGGCCGGUCUCUGACCGUUUGCUCAGGUGGGAUCCCGUCGUCCCUUCUUCAUCGAGAGGGGGUGGGUGGGCGCACCACCGGCCCGUCUCGUCCGCGUCGUCGGUGAGGCGGAGCAUGAGCGUGCACGUUGGGACCCGAAAGAUGGUGAACUAUGCCUGAGCAGGACGAAGCCAGAGGAAACUCUGGUGGAGGUCCGCAGCGAUUCUGACGUGCA
RNAcentral lists this ribosomal RNA (677 nucleotides) under Tonna allium. RNAcentral's name for it is "partial 28S ribosomal RNA". The stretch from base 398 to 677 matches the Rfam family "Eukaryotic large subunit ribosomal RNA", at positions 665 to 895 of the family's 3401-position model. Lineage: Eukaryota; Metazoa; Mollusca; Gastropoda; Littorinimorpha; Tonnidae. The record is from RNAcentral.